UUUCCGAGGGUUUGGUUUUAUGGCUCAGAUUGAACGCUGGCGGCAUGCCUUACACAUGCAAGUCGAACGGCAGCACGGGUGCUUGCACCUGGUGGCGAGUGGCGAACCGGUGAGUCCCAAAAUAAAAAAUAGCGCGAACAUCGUACCUAGUAGUAGGGGGAUAGCCCGGCGAAAGCCGGAUUAAUACCGCAUACGAUCUACGGAUGAAAGCGGGGGACCUUCGGGCCUCGCGCUAUAGGGUUGGCCGAUGGCUGAUUAGCUAGUUGGUGGGGUAAAGGCCUACCAAGGCGACGAUCAGUAGCUGGUCUGAGAGGACGACCAGCCACACUGGGACUGAGACACGGCCCAGACUCCUACGGGAGGCAGCAGUGGGGAAUUUUGGACAAUGGGCGAAAGCCUGAUCCAGCAAUGCCGCGUGUGUGAAGAAGGCCUUCGGGUUGUAAAGCACUUUUGUCCGGAAAGAAAUCCUUGGCUCUAAUACAGUCGGGGGAUGACGGUACCGGAAGAAUAAGCACCGGCUAACUACGUGCCAGCAGCCGCGGUAAUACGUAGGGUGCGAGCGUUAAUCGGAAUUACUGGGCGUAAAGCGUGCGCAGGCGGUUUGCUAAGACCGAUGUGAAAUCCCCGGGCUCAACCUGGGAACUGCAUUGGUGACUGGCAGGCUAGAGUAUGGCAGAGGGGGGUAGAAUUCCACGUGUAGCAGUGAAAUGCGUAGAGAUGUGGAGGAAUACCGAUGGCGAAGGCAGCCCCCUGGGCCAAUACUGACGCUCAUGCACGAAAGCGUGGGGAGCAAACAGGAUUAGAUACCCUGGUAGUCCACGCCCUUUUAUAACGAUGUCAACUAGUUGUUGGGGAUUCCAAUACCUUAGUAACGUAGCUAACGCGUGAAGUUGACCGCCUGGGGAGUACGGUCGCAAGAUUAAAACUCAAAUGAAAUUGACGGAGAC
RNAcentral lists this ribosomal RNA (947 nucleotides) under Burkholderia sp. RNAcentral's name for it is "bacterial SSU rRNA". It matches the Rfam family "Bacterial small subunit ribosomal RNA", at positions 1 to 920 of the family's 1533-position model. The record is from RNAcentral. Lineage: Bacteria; Pseudomonadati; Pseudomonadota; Betaproteobacteria; Burkholderiales; Burkholderiaceae.